GCACUGCUGAGGAGUCCCACAAUAGGACGGAACGACAGUCCAGUGC
RNAcentral lists this non-coding RNA (46 nucleotides) under Schistosoma mansoni. Lineage: Eukaryota; Metazoa; Platyhelminthes; Trematoda; Strigeidida; Schistosomatidae. The record is from RNAcentral.